AAUUUUAAUAAUUAAUAAAUUUUUGGAAAUUAAUAUUUUUUGAUAAAUUAAAAUUUAAUUGGGGUGAUUGAAAAAUUAAAUAAACUUUUUUUAAAAAAUACAUAUAUUUAUGAAUUGAUGAUCCAUUAAAAUGAUUAAAAGAUUAAAUUACCUUAGGGAUAACAGCGUUAUAUUUUUUGAAAGUUCAAAUUUUAAAAAAAGUUUGCGACCUCGAUGUUGGAUUAAAAUUUAAUUAUGGUGUAGAAGCUAUAGGUUUAGGUCUGUUCGACCUUUAAAAUUUUACAUGAUCUGAGUUUAAACCGGUGUGAGCCAGGUUGGUUUCUAUCUUUAGUUAAAAAAAUAUUUUAGUACGAAAGGACCAUUUAUUUAUAAAAUUUAUUUUUUUAAGAGUAAU
RNAcentral lists this ribosomal RNA (394 nucleotides) under Rodolia quadrimaculata. RNAcentral describes it as "partial 16S ribosomal RNA". The stretch from base 158 to 316 matches the Rfam family "Bacterial large subunit ribosomal RNA", at positions 2473 to 2632 of the family's 2925-position model. Lineage: Eukaryota; Metazoa; Arthropoda; Insecta; Coleoptera; Coccinellidae. The record is from RNAcentral.